RNAcentral lists this ribosomal RNA (494 nucleotides) under uncultured bacterium. RNAcentral describes it as "partial 16S ribosomal RNA". It matches the Rfam family "Bacterial small subunit ribosomal RNA", at positions 28 to 507 of the family's 1533-position model. The record is from RNAcentral.
GACGAACGCUGGCGGCGUGCUUAACACAUGCAAGUCGAACGGUGAAGCGCCUUCCUUUUUGGUGGGUGUGGAUGAGUGGCGAACGGGUGAGUAACACGUGAGUAACCUGCCCCCUUCUUCUGGAUAACCGCAUGAAAGUGUGGCUAAUGCGGGAUAUUCUGGGUCUGUCGCAUGAUGGGUCUGGGAAAGAUAUUGUUUCGGUGGGGGAUGGGCUCGCGGCCUAUCAGCUUGUUGGUGGGGUGAUGGCCUACCAAGGCGGUGACGGGUAGCCGGCCUGAGAGGGUGGACGGUCACACUGGGACUGAGACACGGCCCAGACUCCUACGGGAGGCAGCGGUGGGGAAUAUUGCACAAUGGGCGCAAGCCUGAUGCAGCGACGCCGCGUGAGGGAUGGAGGCCUUCGGGUUGUGAACCUCUUUCGCCAGUGAAGCAGGCCUGCCUGGUUUGUGGGUGGGUUGACGGUAGCUGGAUAAGAAGCGCCGGCUAACUACGUG